UGAGGAACAUGACCUUCGGCGGGGGAGUAGCCGGCCCAACGGCCGGGUAAUACCGCGUACGACCACUUUGGGACAUCCCUCGGUGGUGAAAGCAGCAAUGCGCCGAUGGAGUGCCUCGCGGCCUAUCAGCUAGUUGGUGAGGUAACGGCUCACCAAGGCGACGACGGGUAGCUGGCCUGAGAGGAUGGCCAGCCACAUUGGGACUGAGACACGGCCCAGACUCCGUACGGGAGCA
RNAcentral lists this ribosomal RNA (235 nucleotides) under uncultured bacterium. Its description in RNAcentral is "partial 16S ribosomal RNA". It matches the Rfam family "Bacterial small subunit ribosomal RNA", at positions 118 to 347 of the family's 1533-position model. The record is from RNAcentral.